UAAGGAAUAUUGGUCAAUGGGCGCAAGCCUGAACCAGCCAUGCCGCGUGAAGGAUGACGGCCCUAUGGGUUGUAAACUUCUUUUGUACGGGAAUAAACCCAGGUACGUGUACCUGGCUGAAUGUACCGUAAGAAUAAGGAUCGGCUAACUCCGUGCCAGCAGCCGCGGUAAUACGGAGGAUCCAAGCGUUAUCCGGAUUCAUUGGGUUUAAAGGGUGCGUAGGCGGACUUAUAAGUCAGUGGUGAAAUCCUGCAGCUUAACUGCAGAACUGCCAUUGAUACUGUAAGUCUUGAGUGUGUUUGAAGUGGGCGGAAUGUGUCAUGUAGCGGUGAAAUGCUUAGAUAUGACACAGAACACCGAUUGCGUAGGCAGCUCACUAAACCACAACUGACGCUGAGGCACGACAGCGUGGGGAUCAAACAGG
RNAcentral lists this ribosomal RNA (424 nucleotides) under uncultured bacterium. RNAcentral's name for it is "bacterial SSU rRNA". It matches the Rfam family "Bacterial small subunit ribosomal RNA", at positions 355 to 776 of the family's 1533-position model. The record is from RNAcentral.